CCGGCACGGGUGAGUAACACGUAUGCAAUCCACCUGUAACAGGGGAGUAACCCGGAGAAAUCCGGACUAAUACCCAUAAUAUGGGCGCUCCGCAUGGAGAGUCCAUUAAAGAGAGCAAUCUUGGUUACAGACGAGCAUGCGCUCCAUUAGCCAGUUGGCGGGGUAACGGCCCACCAAGGCGACGAUGGAUAGGGGUUCUGAGAGGAAGGUCCCCCACAUUGGAACUGAGACACGGUCCAA
Molecule: ribosomal RNA, 240 nt
Filed under: uncultured bacterium
Lineage: Bacteria
Description: partial 16S ribosomal RNA
Rfam family: Bacterial small subunit ribosomal RNA
Source: RNAcentral